RNAcentral lists this ribosomal RNA (424 nucleotides) under uncultured bacterium. Its description in RNAcentral is "partial 16S ribosomal RNA". It matches the Rfam family "Bacterial small subunit ribosomal RNA", at positions 360 to 776 of the family's 1533-position model. The record is from RNAcentral.
AAUUUUGGACAAUGGGGGAAACCCUGAUCCAGCCAUACCGCGUGGGUGAAGAAGGCCUUCGGUUUGUAAAGCCCUUUUGUUGGGAAAGAAAAGCAGCCGGUUAAUACCCGGUUGUUCUGACGCUACCCAUAGAAUAAGCACCUGCUAACUUCGUGCCAGCAGCCGCGGUAAUACGAAGGCUGCAAGCGUUACACGGAAUUCCUGGGCGUAAAGCGUGCGUAUGUGGUUGUUUAAGUCUGUCGUGAAAGCCCUGGGCUCAACCUGGGGAUGGCGAUGGAAACUGGGCGACUAGAGUGUGGCAGAGGGUAGUGGAAUUCCUGGUGUAGCAGUGAAAUGCGUAGAGAUCAGGAGGAACAUCCGUGGCGAAGGCGACUGCCUGGGCCAACACUGACACUGAGGCACGAAAGCGUGGGGAGCAAACAGG